AGUUGUGACCCCUAGCCCUCCUCUUCCAAUAGACCCCCCCCCCCCCUGAUCUUGACCUCAAGGAUGCAUCCUAGAAACAAGGUGCGGAGCUGUACACAGUCCUUCCUACAACUUGUAGAAGAUCCCGCACAGGCUUCACAACCAGUCAUGUGACCCCUAGCCCUCUUCCAACUGAUUGCCCCCUUGAUCUUGACCUCAAGAUGCAACCUGGAAACAAAAUUAAGCAUUGUGAUUUUAUCACCAUGAGGGAUGAAGUAGAAAAUUCAGCCUGUACAUCACAUCAAUCGUUCUUGCUGCUGGGGUGAAGGAUAAGUUGGCUCCUUGGCCCCAUUUAUGUACUAUGAAAUGUAAUGCCCUUGUAGCUAUCAUUACGGAACGUAA
This is a long non-coding RNA of Strongylocentrotus purpuratus (purple sea urchin), 381 nucleotides long. RefSeq lists it as uncharacterized. The record is from RefSeq and is a predicted model, not a curated record. Lineage: Eukaryota; Metazoa; Echinodermata; Echinoidea; Camarodonta; Strongylocentrotidae. The transcript is spliced from 3 exons.